Molecule: unclassified non-coding RNA, 573 nt
Filed under: Aspergillus calidoustus
Lineage: Eukaryota; Fungi; Ascomycota; Eurotiomycetes; Eurotiales; Aspergillaceae
Description: sequence contains 18S rRNA gene, ITS1, 5.8S rRNA gene, ITS2, 28S rRNA gene
Rfam family: 5.8S ribosomal RNA (bases 202-355)
Source: RNAcentral
AGUCGUAACAAGGUUUCCGUAGGUGAACCUGCGGAAGGAUCAUUACCGAGUGCAGGUCUGCCCCCGGGCAGGCCUAACCUCCCACCCGUGAAUACCUGACCAACGUUGCUUCGGCGGUGCGCCCCCCCGGGGGUAGCCGCCGGAGACCACACCGAACCUCCUGUCUUUAGUGUUGUCUGAGCUUGAUAGCAAACCUAUUAAAACUUUCAACAAUGGAUCUCUUGGUUCCGGCAUCGAUGAAGAACGCAGCGAACUGCGAUAAGUAAUGUGAAUUGCAGAAUUCAGUGAAUCAUCGAGUCUUUGAACGCACAUUGCGCCCCCUGGCAUUCCGGGGGGCAUGCCUGUCCGAGCGUCAUUGCUGCCCUUCAAGCCCGGCUUGUGUGUUGGGUCGUCGUCCCCCCCGGGGGACGGGCCCGAAAGGCAGCGGCGGCACCGCGUCCGGUCCUCGAGCGUAUGGGGCUUUGUCACCCGCUCGAUUAGGGCCGGCCGGGCGCCAGCCGGCGUCUCCAACCUUCUAUUUUACCAGGUUGACCUCGGAUCAGGUAGGGAUACCCGCUGAACCUAAGCAUAUCA